This 4462-nucleotide long non-coding RNA is filed under the name Panax ginseng (ginseng). Its description in RNAcentral is "long non-coding RNA (PGIN_LNC000796)". Lineage: Eukaryota; Viridiplantae; Streptophyta; Magnoliopsida; Apiales; Araliaceae. The record is from RNAcentral.
CAGUUUUGGUCUUUUCUUUAAACUUAUGAUUAUAUGAUUCUCCCCUAUUCGCGUUGCUUCUUCCACCUAAAAAGUUCUAAGACACGCACCCAAAAAAAACAAAGAAAAGAAAAGUAUCAAUAACACCCUGAAAUAUUAAAAGCAUCGCGAAGAUGAGUUAUGUUCUUUAAACCAACUAAAAUAGUUAUGUUUCUUUGAUCCAACUGAAUAUGAAAUUUUAGUUGUUUUAUUAUACCUUUAUUUAACCAAAGAACUAGAAAUUUUGAAGUUGAAUCUUUUCCUGCAUCAACCAAGUUUUAGAACAGUGCUCUUUGUUUCUGUACAUCGGGAUGUGGCCAAAAGCUGACCUUUGAAUCCUAAUAAUAUACACACAGCAUUUCACCAUUGCACCUAUAUGCAAUGCAUAGUUAUUGCCAUGAUUAUUCAUGUCUUAGAUAGUUGAGAGUGAGUGAGAGGUGUCUUAGAAAAUGCUUGUGUUUUUAUGGGAAUUAUGGUGUGUCAACGGGUGUCACCUCCAUUUCACCGUUACAAACACAUAGGAAUUUAAAUUUAGCUAUUACUCGUAUUAACUAAUUCAGAAUCAUAGGAAAGUUAAUGUGCAACUAAGUGUCCUUGCGGAAACCACCAAGUACUACAAGGCCUCGUUUGUGAGCACCAUGUGUCUUUGUCCAAGUUACCCAUUUUGGCUUCGAAAUAUCGAAAAUGUACCCAGCAAGUAUGUGUGACGUCCCAAAAUAGGUAUACAUCACCUAUUCUUAGUCGCCAAAUACAUGGUACAAAAUACAAAUACAAUCUUUAAUAUACAACAAGAAAGCUGUGAGUUUUAAUACAAAUAUUGUCUUCUAGACAAUAUCCACUCUCAGAAUAAGUCCUCAUUACAUUUCUUGUCACACUAUUUAACAGAAUAGUGAGGACUACUAAUACUAUCAUCUGGACCGUCACUCCGUUCCCCGACUAGUCCCGGCUACGUUUUCAUUUCUUGAAGAGAACAGUGAAAGAAAGGGUGAGCUCAACUAGCCCAGUAAAGAAUAUCAUGACUUAAGAUAAUUAAAUUAUUAAAAGAAUUCAGAUAUUUAGAACAUAUGGUAAAAGAUAAAAGUUUUCAACCAUAAUAGCAGCGGAAUCAACAAUCCAUUAGAAGAGUUAAGUAGAACAUAAUGUCUACUAUCUCCUCUAGAUUAAAGGUCCAUCGUUAAUAUUUCAUUCCUGUAAUACUCAUCAACAGUUCUUUGUUAUACCUAAGACAAAGAGAACUCUCAUCACCUGUCUUCACCUGAACCACCACAAAUUAUAAUUAAAUUCACAAUUCGUAUUUAUAUAAUCAGAUAAAUCAACAGUUCAUACAACUGUAAAACCAAUAACCAACAGUCCAUCUUUGCACUACAGGCCAAAGAUAUACAACUGUAAAACCAAUAAUGCUGAGACUCAGCUUAAUAGUAUCACGACUACGAAUUAUCCAUGCACUACGGGCCAAGGAUAUUCGUGUUUUCAAUUAUGGUCAUGAUUAUACCGAAUAAUCCCUGGUUAUAAUCAUACCAAGUCUAUCUAUGCACUACGAGCCAAAGAUGACUUUUACCACAUCAUUUGUAACAUUACGGUCAUGAUUAUACCGAAUAAUCCCUGGUCAUAAUCAUACCAAGUCCAUCUAUGCACUACUGGCCAUAGACGACUUUCAACACAAUAUAAGCAUGAGAAUGAUGACAAUGAUAUAUAUAAUGAAUAAACAUAAAUCAUCAGAAUAAUAAGAUAACAUAGAUCUUAGUGAUUUUCAACUUAAUUAUCCAGAGUCCAAAUUGAUAACAUAAUAAUAGAUGAAGCACAAACUAUUAAGUAUAUUCUAAUCCUUUCAGGACUUUUCACCAUUUAAUGAUAAACUGAAUAAACGAAUAAUAAUAUCUUACCAUAAUAUGAAAGAAAAUGAUAUUCUUUUUAUCAUAAAAAUGAUACCCUCUUACCACAAUAAUGAUAUCCCUUACCUUAGCAUGUGACUUGAUUCUGCUUUCUGUGAAAUUGAUCAACUUAAACAAUGCUUGCAUUCUUUAUCUACACUUGCAGUAACAUUACACUCAAUAGAAAUACUCACAAUAUUAUACUCACAAUAUUGAAGAAAAAGAAUUCUAUAUUUUUAGUGUAGUGAUGGUGUGUGUUUAGUUACUCAACCGAGCAACCUAUUUAUACUAAAAAUUUAGUAAACAACUGCCACACCUGCUUUGACAAAAUAACCAAAUGGGGUAUAAAAUAAUGGUAGUGGAAUUUAUGGUCCCACAAAGAAAAUUAAAUCAACUUGUACACGUUUUAACAAAAUUUGUUCAAUAAUAGAGUUGUGGUCCAUACUACUUUAGAAAAAGUAGAGUGUCGGCAAGUCCUGCCAAACAUACUUUUGUAAAAAGAAAAUAAUUGAACAAACAUCUCUAUAUUGUACUUAUCUUUAAUCAACACCUUUUAUUCAUCAAUUAUUUACACAUUUUAAAUCUUUCAACAAUUAUACACAAUUAUUUAUUAAAACUCACAAUACUGUCAACUGGUUUAAUUAUAUCAUAUCAAAUAAUAUGAGUCACUGUGCAAUAACUAUGACAAUUAUUGAAUAAAAGACUGAUUGACUUCUUACGUAAUUAAGAAUCAAUAAUAUAAAUAACUGUGCAAUAACUACUGUGACAAUUAUUGAAUAAAAUACUGAGUGGCUUCUUACGUAAGAAUCAAAUCAAUAUCUUUAAAUUUUUAUUAAAAGUAAGGAUCAACAUCAAAUCAUAUGUAUCUCGAAUAACAUAUAAACCAACUAAUAAUUCAUUAUUCAUUUAAGUUGUCUUUAUUUAUCGUAUAAAAUCAUUAUUCAUAUUCCAAAAUUUUAGAAGUGAAUAAUAAAACUUGAGAAAUAUACAACCUCAUAUAUGACAAUCUAUUAUUCUGAUAUUAUCACCAUUUUUACUUUAACAAAAAUAUUAUUUUUGUUUUUAUCAUAACUCAUUCGUUACUAGUGCGUUUACAUCCCGACACCUCAUGAGCUUACUAACACUUCUAAAAUAUUUUAAAAAAAUAUGAUUCUGAAUUUUCCAAACAAAUUUCAUAUUUUUCAGAUUAUCUAACAAUUUUCUAUAAUUAUUUCUAUUUAUAAAAAAUAUCAUUUAAUAGCUUCAAAAUAGAAAUACUAACUUUACAUACUUUUAUAUCAUUAAAACAUUAUCAAUAUUAAUCUUACAUUAUUAUAAUAUUUUUCAGCAAAAAUCAUAAUUUUCCACCAUUCAUAGAAUUUUCUAUGAAUUUCUUCUAUUUUCAAACUAACUAUAAAUAGUUUAAAAAUAUAAUAAUUACUUCUGCUUUUCAAUAAUUUAUCAAAAUUUUACAGAAAUUCUAAGAUGAUAUUAUAAGCAUUCUGUAAAAAUAUUUCAACCAAAAUAAUUUUUCUGUUAAAUUAAUUAUAAACUCCAAUAUUCAGAAAUUUCAAUAAUUCACAAUAAUUAGCACUUUUAUCAGAAAAAAAUACAGAUCUUAUGUCCUUCCAUGUAAAAUUUAAUUCUCUACAACUUUUUAGAAGAAAGUUUUCCCAAAUUUUGACUCUAACAUAGAGAGAAAGGCUUACCGAAAUAUUCUGUUUGAUAAUUUUCGAACCAGCCACCUUACGAAAUUCACAACAGAUUAUAUAUUAAUCUUUAAUGGUUCAAAAUUUGUGGACAUAUACUCAACUUAUAUAUGCAUAACAUAUCCGAAAAUCACAACGAUCCAACGGUCGGAUUAAAAAUUAUAACUCACGCAAUAAAGCUUAAUAAAACUGAUUUUUUGGACUAUAAGUUCUUCGGACCAAUUUCACUCAAACUGUCACCACGAAGAAUCUACAAAGAAUUUUUGGGUGAUUCAAAUUUCUGCAUUUAGCUUACUUCCAUGGCUUUAUUUUGAUAUAUAGCUCAUCUCCUAACUCAUUAUACACAAAGAGUUAUGGAUUUUACAAAAUCAAGUAGUAAACUAAUUUUUAUGAAAAUUUCCAGAUUUUUCUUUUCAUUUGAUUUCUUGAUUUCUCUUACUUGAUUCAUGCUUAUACAAGUUUAAAACAUACAAUACAUACCUAAGUAUGUACUCUUUACAUAAAAUCCAUAUAAACUAAAAUCUAAGAAUAAAUCAAAGAUUUUUUUAGAAAUACCUUUUCUUCUUCUCCUUCUUUCUCUCUUCUCUUCCUUCCUCUCUCUCUCUCUCUCUCUCUCUCUCUCUCUCUCAUUCUUCUGAUUUCCCGUGACUAACAAAAUGGGUGGGAGUACUUCAUAUUUUUCUCGUUCCUUUUAUUUUGUUUUCUAUCUUUUCUCUCUCUCUCUUUUUCUUCCUCUUUUCCCUUAUUUUCUUCCUUUCCUUUUCUCUUUUCUUCUACCUAUUUUGUCUACGGGAGGAAGUGAGAAAAUGCAAAUGUAAAGUGCUGAACAUUUGGCCUACUUAGCCAAAAUAAAUGGCCAACAUCCUUGCCCCACCAAUAAAAGAA